RNAcentral lists this ribosomal RNA (172 nucleotides) under Enterococcus sp. Its description in RNAcentral is "partial 16S ribosomal RNA". The record is from RNAcentral. Lineage: Bacteria; Bacillati; Bacillota; Bacilli; Lactobacillales; Enterococcaceae.
GCAUACCAGUGAAAGGCGCUUUCGGGUGUCGCUGAUGGAUGGACCCGCGGUGCAUGGCUCAGUUGGGGAAGUAUCCCCUCCUGGUCUGACGAUGCACCACCGACCUGGGAGGGUGAUCGCCCUCACUGCUCCUGAGACAGGGCCCAGACUCCUAUAUUACGCAGUGGUAGGG